AGAACGAACGCUGGCGGCAGGCUUAACACAUGCAAGUCGAGCGCCCCGCAAGGGGAGCGGCAGACGGGUGGGUAACGCGUGGGAACGUACCCCCCCGGUUCGGAAUAACUCAGGGAAACUUGAGCUAAUACCGGAUACGGCUGGAAGGCGAAAGAUUCAUCGCCGGGGGAUCGGCCCGCGUCCGAUUAGCUAGUUGGUGUGGUAACGGCGCACCAAGGCGACGAUCGGUAGCUGGUCUGAGAGGAUGAUCAGCCACAUUGGGACUGAGACACGGCCCAAACUCCUACGGGAGGCAGCAGUGGGGAAUAUUGGACAAUGGGCGCAAGCCUGAUCCAGCCAUGCCGCGUGAGUGAUGAAGGCCUUAGGGUUGUAAAGCUCUUUCACCCACGACGAUAAUGACGGUAGUGGGAGAAGAAGCCCCGGCUAACUUCGCGCCAGCAGCCGC
Molecule: ribosomal RNA, 445 nt
Filed under: uncultured bacterium
Lineage: Bacteria
Description: SSU rRNA
Rfam family: Bacterial small subunit ribosomal RNA
Source: RNAcentral